Molecule: ribosomal RNA, 253 nt
Filed under: uncultured bacterium
Lineage: Bacteria
Description: partial 16S ribosomal RNA
Rfam family: Bacterial small subunit ribosomal RNA
Source: RNAcentral
UACGAAGGUCCCGAGCGUUGUUCGGAAUCACUGGGCGUAAAGGGAGCGUAGGCGGCGUGGUAAGUCAGAUGUGAAAUCCCGGGGCUCAACCCCGGAACUGCAUCCGAUACUGCCAUGCUAGAGGAUUGGAGAGGUAGCUGGAAUUCUUGGUGUAGCAGUGAAAUGCGUGGAGAUCAAGAGGAACACCCGUGGCGAAAGCGAGCUACUGGACAAUAUCUGACGCUGAGGCUCGAAGGCCAGGGGAGCAAACGGG